RNAcentral lists this unclassified non-coding RNA (343 nucleotides) under uncultured fungus. RNAcentral describes it as "partial contains 5.8S ribosomal RNA, internal transcribed spacer 2, and large subunit ribosomal RNA". The stretch from base 1 to 52 matches the Rfam family "5.8S ribosomal RNA", at positions 103 to 154 of the family's 154-position model. The record is from RNAcentral. Lineage: Eukaryota; Fungi.
AACGCACCUUGCACCCUUUGGUAUUCCGAAGGGUAUGCCUGUUUGAGUGUCAUUUAAUUCUCAACUCUCAAUACAUUAUUGAGAGCUUGGAUAAUGGGGGUUAUUGUUGCAGGCCUUUAUCAGGCCAGCUCCCCUGAAAUGCAUUAGCUGGGGCUUUGAAGGGAAUGCAAGUCUUCAGCGUCCUAUCGGUGUGAUAAGUAUCAUCGCCGACGGUCGUUUGAAGCUCCCUUUUAUCUUAGAAGGCCUCGCUUCUCAGCUGUCUUCGGACAAGCUUUCUUUUGAAAGCUUUUUUGUAAAUGACCAUUGUGACCUCAAAUCAGGCAGGAUUACCCGCUGAACUUAA